RNAcentral lists this ribosomal RNA (480 nucleotides) under uncultured bacterium. Its description in RNAcentral is "partial 16S ribosomal RNA". It matches the Rfam family "Bacterial small subunit ribosomal RNA", at positions 28 to 523 of the family's 1533-position model. The record is from RNAcentral.
GACGAACGCUGGCGGCGUGCCUAAUACAUGCAAGUCGAGCGAUGAAGUUUCCUUCGGGAAACGGAUUAGCGGCGGACGGGUGAGUAACAUGUGGGUAACCUGCCUCAUAGAGUGGAAUAGCCUUCCGAAAGGAAGAUUAAUACCGCAUAAUGUUGAAAGAUCGCAUCAUCAUUUAACCAAAAGAGGAAGCUGCUAUGAGAUGGACCCGCGGCGCAUUGGCUAGUUGGUGGGGUAACGGCCUACCAAGGCGACGAUGCGUAGCCGACCUGAGAGGGUGAUCGGCCACAUUGGGACUGAGACACGGCCCAGACUCCUACGGGAGGCAGCAGUGGGGAAUAUUGCACAAUGGGGGAAACCCUGAUGCAGCAACGCCGCGUGAGUGAUGGAGGUUUUCGGAUCGUAAAGCUCUGUCUUUGGGGAAGAUAAUGACGGUACCCAAGGAGGAAGCCACGGCUAACUACGUGCCAGCCGCCGCCGUAA